UACGUAGGGUGCGAGCGUUGUCCGGAUUUAUUGGGCGUAAAGGGCUCGUAGGCGGUCUAUUGCGUCGGGAGUGAAAACCUGCGGCUUAACUGUGGGCUUGCUUUCGAUACGGGUGGACUUGAGGAGGGUAGGGGAGAACGGAAUUCCUGGUGGAGCGGUGGAAUGCGCAGAUAUCAGGAGGAACACCGGUGGCGAAGGCGGUUCUCUGGACCUUUCCUGACGCUGAGGAGCGAAAGCGUGGGGAGCAAACAGGCUUAGAUACC
This 263-nucleotide ribosomal RNA is filed under the name uncultured bacterium. RNAcentral describes it as "partial 16S ribosomal RNA". It matches the Rfam family "Bacterial small subunit ribosomal RNA", at positions 524 to 786 of the family's 1533-position model. The record is from RNAcentral.